GUGGGGAAUAUUGGACAAUGGGCGAAAGCCUGAUCCAGCCAUGCCGCGUGUGUGAAGAAGGUCUUCGGAUUGUAAAGCACUUUAAGUUGGGAGGAAGGGCAGUAAGUUAAUACCUUGCUGUUUUGACGUUACCGACAGAAUAAGCACCGGCUAACUUCGUGCCAGCAGCCGCGGUAAUACGAAGGGUGCAAGCGUUAAUCGGAAUUACUGGGCGUAAAGCGCGCGUAGGUGGUGUUGUAAGGUGGAGGUGAAAUCCACGGGAUCAACCUGGGAACUGCCUCCAAAACUGCAUGACUAGAGUACGGUAGAGGGUAGUGGAAUUUCCUGUGUAGCGGUGAAAUGCGUAGAUAUAGGAAGGAACACCAGUGGCGAAGGCGACUACCUGGACUGAUACUGACACUGAGGUGCGAAAGCGUGGGGAGCAAACAGGAUUAGAAACCCUGGUAGUCC
Molecule: ribosomal RNA, 450 nt
Filed under: uncultured bacterium
Lineage: Bacteria
Description: partial 16S ribosomal RNA
Rfam family: Bacterial small subunit ribosomal RNA
Source: RNAcentral